GAGUGGAGCGACGCCUCCUCGGGAUGGAGCCGGGGCCCGCAACCAGAGGCCCGCAGGUCCGGGCUUCGCUGCAUAAGCGCGAACUGCGGGACAAUUUCCGGCAAAAUUACGAUGAUUGCCAGACGAUGAUUACCAGAUCCGGCAGGGGGAUGUUUCAGUGCUGCAAAGUCAGCGUCACGGGUCUGAACCACAAGGUCAAGAACGUGCUGCUGUGGACAGGGUGUCUUUCGAUGACAGCAAAUACAAAUGGAACAAGGACAGAUGGGAGGUGAUUGGCAUAGCAGAGCCACACCCUCCCCCCAAACAUUUCUGCAUCCACCUCUAUUUUCCUGCUGCUGUAUCCGAUAUUCUUCCACAAGCUCAAGAUGACCAAUAACACCCUCAACAGCAGUGGCCCGAUGAAAAAAAGACUCAAGAUACACUAUAAUCCUUUUGCCAAGAGCUUUCGAGAUCAAGAGCUAGACAACAAAAGGUACAGAGCAAAAGGAAAUCAGCCUGCAAGCGGCCCAUGAAAGCAACCCAAACAUGGCCGCACCCCUCUCCAGAUGGGACAGUCCUUUUCCAAGAUUAUGGGGUGUGAAAGCUUCCCGCAGCUCCAUUAGGACAUCUUUAACCAGAGCAGUAGGAUCACUGAG
Molecule: long non-coding RNA, 635 nt
Organism: Brienomyrus brachyistius
Lineage: Eukaryota; Metazoa; Chordata; Actinopteri; Osteoglossiformes; Mormyridae
Exons: 6
Source: RefSeq, a predicted model, not a curated record